CCAUUUUAUCAUUCAAGUACAUAAAGGUUUCAGUAUGCAAUUAGCAUGAAAAAACAAAAUCUAUACAUGACAUGAAGCUUGCCUCAGAUUAGGAGGCUACUUAUUCUGAAACAAUGGUUAUGAGGCUCAAGAAGAACCACUAACAGAAAACAAAGGUAGAAACUUAAUAACUAGCUCAUGAGCAGUGUUAAGCAUCAGUGUAGAUUUGCUUUGGUAUGGCAGAUAUUGUGUCUGAGUGAAUACUCAUGGCAGAUAAUCUGUCUGCUCUAGAUAUUUUCCACCAUUUAUUGUAUGCAGCCAUGCUCCCUUCUUCAACUAGACAGUAUUCUAGGUCGGUAAGAGCAAGAACCUGCUGGUGGAUGAUGGUCUUUUAUAUUUUUAAUUCAACACAGGCUAUAAAUUUUCACGUCUGCUCUAAUAUUCUAUACCAACAAAUGUACUUUCACUUGGAAAUUUGAAGGAUUAUGAUCAUGAAUCCUUACUACAGAAAUCGAAAGGUAAAUUAUAUCUGCAAUGUGGCUUGCCGGAACUAAAGCUCCACUAGUGGAUUGUUGAUCCAAUAUUUUAUGUUGGAGGAUAGUUUCCCUAGAAGAAGCCUCCUCCAGAAACAAGUCACAGACAUGUCUCCUCUUGCAAGGAGGCAUGAUUGAGAAAUGCCGCAAUAUAGGACGAGAAGCUAAUAGUAUGAAGAAAGAUUCCCGGUUGAGAAUAAACAAUGGACAAUUUAAUGUACGUAGAGCAUGUCAUACAUGAAUCCGAGCUCAACCUCUACGAACUUUGAGUAAGCAGCUUGAUGGAGAUUAUUGACCAGUAGGAGGAUGUUGGCUCCUUGGUUCCUUCAAAGAAGCUGCUGAGUGAAAGUUUCUAAUAUUUGCUUGGUAGUUGAGCACGUGAGAACCCAAGUUUUCUCUCCAUACUUGAUAAUUCCAGAAAUAAACAGUGGAAUUGACAAGAACAAGAGGAAUUGGAGUUCCGAGGCACUGCAAUUC
Molecule: long non-coding RNA, 989 nt
Filed under: Populus trichocarpa (black cottonwood)
Lineage: Eukaryota; Viridiplantae; Streptophyta; Magnoliopsida; Malpighiales; Salicaceae
Description: long non-coding RNA (PTRI_LNC000163)
Source: RNAcentral